This 728-nucleotide long non-coding RNA is filed under the name Apteryx owenii (little spotted kiwi). RNAcentral's name for it is "lncRNA (ENSAOWG00000012310.1)". Lineage: Eukaryota; Metazoa; Chordata; Aves; Apterygiformes; Apterygidae. The record is from RNAcentral.
AAGGAUCUCCGAGUGCUGCCCCUUCUGCCCUGUGUGCCUCUCUUUCUGGCUGUAUCUAGACAAGCAAAACCCUCUCCAGUGUUUCUUGCCAAGUCACUGCUCAGAGCUCAAGGUUGGAGAUCUGCAGCAAGGACAGCCUUCUAUCUGGGCUUUGGUAGUGCCUGAUUGUGCCCGUCCUGCUCCCUGCUGAAUCCAGCAUGGCCAGACCAGCAGCGAGGGCAGCUGCAGUCUCCUGAGAUGGGCAGAUGUCAACAGCAGAAUCUCCCUCAGGACAACGUUGCCCUGGAUUGAUGGGGAUAGCUAUGGGCUGGGAUUAAACCUGCUUUAUUUGGGUGAGUUUCUUUUGUUAGCUAAGCACAUCUAGUACCUCAUGGCAGGAGGGAAUAAUGCUGGCAGAAGAGGGUGAGCACUGGGCUGUGUUCAUACCUGCUCUUACAUUUUGUGUAGCCAGCUGCUUUCCUGCACCCACAAGCCACCAGAGUGGUUUGCACUGCUGGUGCAGCACCCACAUCUUCCACUUAGUGCCCAAAUGUUGAUGUCCUGUAGCAUCGUCCUCUUUUCCUGCAGAGAGGCUGAGACAUACAGAUCAAAUCACUGCCCGAGACUGGUCAACAGAUGCAGAGCACCUAACGGACUGGAGCAGGAGCUGAUGCAGAGCCUGGUGGAGGACAUGAGAGCCUGUCUGGUGAGCUGAACAGGCCGUGGAGAGUAUGUUCCUGUGGUAAAAA